GCGCCCGCAGCGGCCUCGCCAUGUCCCAGCCCGGCCAGAAGCCCGCUGCCUCCCCGCGGCCCCGGCGCGCAGCCGCCGCCCGCCGCACCCAGGAGCAUGUCAGUGAAAAAACCAGUGAAUCGCCUUCCAAACCAGGAGAAAAAAAAGGAUCAGAUGAGAAAAAAGCAGCAAGCCUCGGCAGCAGUCAAUCCUCCAGAACCUAUGCUGGUGGAACAGCCUCAGCCACCAAGGUGUCAGCUUCCUCUGGUGUGACAAGCAAGUCUUCCAGUAUGAAUCCCACAGAAACCAAGAUAAAAUAAAAUUAUACCUGGGGCUGUGCUCUUAUAUUAGGCCAUUCCAGUCAGCCAACAGAUGGAAGGACCACAUCUUCCUAACAAGAAAAAACACAAAAAACAG
This 396-nucleotide small RNA is filed under the name Pongo abelii (Sumatran orangutan). Its description in RNAcentral is "processed transcript". The record is from RNAcentral. Lineage: Eukaryota; Metazoa; Chordata; Mammalia; Primates; Hominidae.